RNAcentral lists this long non-coding RNA (1963 nucleotides) under Solanum tuberosum (potato). Its description in RNAcentral is "long non-coding RNA (STUB_LNC002208)". The record is from RNAcentral. Lineage: Eukaryota; Viridiplantae; Streptophyta; Magnoliopsida; Solanales; Solanaceae.
CACGUCAAGCAAUGGAUAACUUACGUGCAUCAGAUGUUUACAUUUAACUAAAUAAUAACUUUAAGAAAUAAUAAAUCAAAGUGAAAAUACAUAUCACUUAAUCAUGAUUAAGUAUUAAAAAGUGUAUAUGCGAGAGUUAUAUUUUACAUUUAUUGGCUUGGUGUAAACACUACAUGUAUUUUCCUAUAGAAACGAACAAUAUUUGCAUAUAAUGUUCAACUUUGUCUAGAAAAGAAUAUUUAUGAUCCAAUUUUCUUAAGUCCAUGCCACCUUCUGCACUAUCUGUUGAUUUUAAAAUUAGAUCAGUUACUUUCAGCUAUAGGCCAAUUCAGGGGACGCGGCGUAAUUGCUGGUUAAAGUUAACUGGAAAUCUAUAUUCCAUAGAUUCUUCAUUUCCCUUUAUGCACUUGAAAGGGUAUGUUUAGAGUGGGUGUUUUUUGGAUACGCUACAGUAAAACUUAGGAAAAACACAUACUGCAUACAGUACUUUUGUUGGUUUAAUCAUUCAGUACUCGGAAUUCAUUAAAGGGGGAAACUCUCCCCUUUUCCAGUGCUAAAACUCAAAACUUCUAAUUAAAGGUAGAGGGAUUCCGUUCAUCCCACCACACCCUUCACUUAAUAUUUACACGCAUCCUAAAUUGAUGUAACAAGGCUGGGAAUUCGUUUUUCUGCAUAUAGGGGAAAUGAUACUUCUACCCGGUAUGCUCACUGGCUCUUGUAGUGUUAUGGAGAUGUUGAGGUUUAUCCAUAAUUGUACAAGUAUUGGAAUAUUGUGUUUUGAAAUGAGAAUUAUUGAGAUAAAGAAGAUAGCAAGAAAUAUUCGUAUGGCAAUAGGUCAAAUAGAGAAGAUAAUGAGAUGCUUUUAUUCUUUAAUCACGAGGGGUUGACUUGUGUCUUCAGAUGGACACAAAGAUUAUAAUGAGUCUCUGUUAUGAAUCAAAAGAAGCUGGUUUUGCCACUCAUAUAUAUCAAGAGCCAAGAUAUCAAGGUCCCACUAAAUUCCCUUUUUCUAUUCUGUAACAAGAGUAUUUAUUUUUGCCUAUAAAUAGGCUGCUCUAAAUCACUCAAUUUGUCAAUCAAAACACAUUUAAUUAAAGAUUCUUCAGGGCCCUUAUUGCUGCCUCUCCCUCAAGGGCUUCUCUCCUGCAUGCUUAUAUGUUGGGAAAGAAGCUCUAGCAGGGAGAGCCAAUAACAAGUGUCUUGUUUAACAACUUAUGUUGCUCUUCACAGUUCACAGGACAGUCUUUUUUCACUCUCCCUCAAAGGCUUCUGGCUUAAAAUGCCUUUUGUGCUAAUGCUAGAGGUCUUUCGAGUGAGAGUGAAUAAAUUCUGCCAUGAUAUAUAUAAUUGCAGAAUUAUGACUCAACAAAGAAACUGUUCUUCUUCAGGGCUCACGUGAACCUAAUAGCCUUAUAUAUGUAUUAAGAAAUUUAUUAAAUAUCUAUUAGUUACAGUAAUAUUUGACUGUGAAAUUCACCUCUUUUCUUUUGCCUUCUGAUUCCUAUGCAGUUAAGGUGGAUCAACGCUGUACAAUUGGCGGAAAAGUGCUCUACGAUCACGAUCAAGAGAGAGAGGAAUGAGGAUCUAGUUUUAACCCUGAAUUUUUUUAUCUUAAGGCUUAACUGAGUAAAGCUGGAGCAGAUGUAAUUUUGUCUGCACUAACUGCCUUUGCAAGUGAUUCGCUGACUUUAAAUCCUGAAUCUGCCUUUAGAGUCGGAAGUGGCUGGUCGUAUUCCUUCUUCCUUGGUGUAUGUUGAUCUCUUCUCUCUGGUGGUAGCUAUUCAACAUCUCCACAGAAUUGUAAUGUGUUUCAUAAUGAGGAGGCAUUGCAUAAAGAUUUGGUUUUGGAAGACAAAUUGGCUCCAAUAGAAUCGAACACAUACAGAAAAUUCAAAUAAUUAAAUAACUAGAUUUGGAAUUGAGAUGUAGUUGGCUAAUGAUUUUCUAGAGGAAUAAAAAAAUA